RNAcentral lists this ribosomal RNA (449 nucleotides) under uncultured bacterium. RNAcentral describes it as "partial 16S ribosomal RNA". It matches the Rfam family "Bacterial small subunit ribosomal RNA", at positions 29 to 523 of the family's 1533-position model. The record is from RNAcentral.
AACGAACGCUGGCGGCAUGCCUAACACAUGCAAGUCGAACGAAGCCUUCGGGCUUAGUGGCGCACGGGUGCGUAACGAGUGGGAAUCUGCCCUUGGGUUAGGAAUUACAGUUAGAAAUGACUGCUAAUACCGGAUGAUGUCUUCGGACCAAAGAUUUAUGGCCGAAGGAUGAGCCCGCGUAGGAUUAGGUAGUUGGUGGGGUAAUGGCCCACCAAGCCGACGAUCCUUAGCUGGUCUGAGAGGAUGAUCAGCCACACUGGGACUGAGACACGGCCCAGACUCCUACGGGAGGCAGCAGUGGGGAAUAUUGGACAAUGGGCGAAAGCCUGAUCCAGCAAUGCCGCGUGAGUGAUGAAGGCCUUAGGGUUGUAAAGCUCUUUUACCAGGGAUAAUAAUGACAGUACCUGGAGAAUAAGCUCCGGCUAACUCCGUGCCAGCCGCCGCUGUAA